CAGAGCCCAUAAAAGCUAAAGUGCAAGGUCAGUUGCCCACUUGGUUGCAAGGGAUACUUCUCCAAAAUGGCCCAGGGAUGCACACAAUAGGGGACACUAAAUAUAACCACUGGUUUGAUGGCAUGGCUCUGCUUCAUAGCUUUACAUUUAAAAAUGGUGAAGUUUACUACAGAAG
This is a long non-coding RNA of Strigops habroptila (Kakapo), 175 nucleotides long. RefSeq lists it as uncharacterized. Lineage: Eukaryota; Metazoa; Chordata; Aves; Psittaciformes; Psittacidae. The record is from RefSeq and is a predicted model, not a curated record. The transcript has 3 exons.